Molecule: ribosomal RNA, 494 nt
Filed under: uncultured bacterium
Lineage: Bacteria
Description: partial 16S ribosomal RNA
Rfam family: Bacterial small subunit ribosomal RNA
Source: RNAcentral
GACGAACGCUGGCGGCGUGCUUAACACAUGCAAGUCGAACGGAAAGGCCUGCUUUCCCUUGUGGAUUGCGGGUACUCGAGUGGCGAACGGGUGAGUAACACGUGAGUGAUCUGCCCCCAACUUGGGUAUAAGCCUGGGAAACUGGGUCUAAUUCCCGAUAGGACUGCAGGGUGGUGCCUGUGGUGGAAAACGAUUUUCUAGUGGUUGGGGAUGAGCUCGCGGCCUAUCAGCUUGUUGGUGGGGUAAUGGCCUACCAAGGCGGCGACGGGUAGCCGGCCUGAGAGGGUGGACGGCCGCAUUGGGACUGAGAUACGGCCCAGACUCCGACGGGAGGCAGCAGUGGGGAAUAUUGGACAAUGGGCGGGAGCCUGAAGCAGCGACGCCGCGUGGGGGAUGACGGGCUUCGGGUUGUAAACUCCUUUCGACCGCGAGGAAGCCACCUGGUUGGAAGGGUGGUGACGGUAGUGGUAGAAGAAGCACCGGCUAACUACGUG